GACGAACGCUGGCGGCGUGCUUAACACAUGCAAGUCGAACGGAAAGGCCCUGCUUUUGUGGGGUGCUCGAGUGGCGAACGGGGGAGUAAAACGUGAGUAACCUGCCCUUGACUUUGGGAUAACUUCAGGAAAAUGGGGCUAAUACCGGAUAGGAGCUCCUGCUGCAUGGUGGGGGUUGGAAAGUUUCGGCGGUUGGGGCUGGACUCGCGGCUUAUCAGCUUGUUGGUGGGGUAGGGGCUUACAAAGGCUUUGACGGGUAGCCGGCCUGAGAGGGUGACCGGCCACAUUGGGCCUGCGAUACGGCCCAGACUCCUACGGGAGGCAGCAGGGGGGAAUAUUGCAGAAUGGGCGGAAGCCUGAUGCAGCAACGCCGCGUGCGGGAUGACGGCCUUCGGGUUGUAAACCGAUUUCGCCUGUGACGAAGCGUUAGUGACGGUAAUGGGUAAAGAAGCACCGGCUAACUACGUG
RNAcentral lists this ribosomal RNA (468 nucleotides) under uncultured bacterium. Its description in RNAcentral is "partial 16S ribosomal RNA". It matches the Rfam family "Bacterial small subunit ribosomal RNA", at positions 28 to 507 of the family's 1533-position model. The record is from RNAcentral.